UACGUAGGGUGCAAGCGUUGUCCGGAUUUAUUGGGCGUAAAGAGCGUGUAGGCGGCCAGAUAGGUCUGCUGUGAAAACUCGAGGCUCAACCUCGAGAUGUCGGCGGAAACCAUUUGGCUAGAGUCCGGAAGAGGAAAGUGGAAUUCCUGGUGUAGCGGUGAAAUGCGCAGAUAUCAGGAAGAACACCCGUGGCGAAGGCGGCUUUCUGGGACGGUACUGACGCUGAGACGCGAAAGCGUGGGGAGCGAACAGG
This 253-nucleotide ribosomal RNA is filed under the name uncultured bacterium. RNAcentral's name for it is "partial 16S ribosomal RNA". It matches the Rfam family "Bacterial small subunit ribosomal RNA", at positions 524 to 776 of the family's 1533-position model. The record is from RNAcentral.